ACACUCCUGCGGGAGGCAGCAGUGGGGAAUUUUGGACAAUGGGCGAAAGCCUGAUCCAGCAAUGCCGCGUGCAGGAUGAAGGCCUUCGGGUUGUAAACUGCUUUUGUACGGAACGAAAAAGCUCCUUCUAAUACAGGGGGCCCAUGACGGUACCGUAAGAAUAAGCACCGGCUAACUACGUGCCAGCAGCCGCGGUAAUACGUAGGGUGCGAGCGUUAAUCGGAAUUACUGGGCGUAAAGCGUGCGCAGGCGGUUAUGUAAGACAGAUGUGAAAUCCCCGGGCUCAACCUGGGAACUGCAUUUGUGACUGCAUGGCUAGAGUACGGUAGAGGGGGAUGGAAUUCCGCGUGUAGCAGUGAAAUGCGUAGAUAUGCGGAGGAACACCGAUGGCGAAGGCAAUCCCCUGGACCUGUACUGACGCUCAUGCACGAAAGCGUGGGGAGCAAACAGGAUUAGAUACCCGAGUAGUCCCAUG
Molecule: ribosomal RNA, 475 nt
Filed under: uncultured organism
Description: partial 16S ribosomal RNA
Rfam family: Bacterial small subunit ribosomal RNA
Source: RNAcentral